This 253-nucleotide ribosomal RNA is filed under the name uncultured bacterium. Its description in RNAcentral is "partial 16S ribosomal RNA". It matches the Rfam family "Bacterial small subunit ribosomal RNA", at positions 524 to 776 of the family's 1533-position model. The record is from RNAcentral.
UACGUAGGCAGCAAGCGUUGUUCGGAAUUACUGGGCGUAAAGAGUGCGUAGGCGGUUCCGCAAGUUUGUCGUGAAAUCUCCCGGCUUAACUGGGAGGGUGCGGCGAAAACUGCGGGGCUGGAGUGUGGGAGAGGUAAGCGGAAUUCCUGGUGUAGCGGUGAAAUGCGUAGAUAUCAGGAGGAACACCGGCGGUGUAGACGGCUUACUGGACCAUGACUGACGCUGAGGCACGAAAGCGUGGGGAGCAAACAGG